This 433-nucleotide ribosomal RNA is filed under the name uncultured bacterium. Its description in RNAcentral is "partial 16S ribosomal RNA". It matches the Rfam family "Bacterial small subunit ribosomal RNA", at positions 29 to 507 of the family's 1533-position model. The record is from RNAcentral.
AACGAACGCUGGCGGCAUGCUUAACACAUGCAAGUCGAACGAGACCUUCGGGUCUAGUGGCGCACGGGUGCGUAACGCGUGGGAACCUGCCCUUAGGUUCGGAAUAACUCCCCGAAAGGGGUGCUAAUACCGGUUAAUGUCUUCGGACCAAAGAUUUAUCGCCUUUGGAUGGGCCCGCGUUGGAUUAGCUAGUUGGUAGGGUAAAAGCCUACCAAGGCGACGAUCCAUAGCUGGUCUGAGCGGAUGAUCAGCCACACUGGGACUGAGACACGGCCCAGACUCCGACGGGAGGCAGCAGUGGGGAAUAUUGGACAAGGGGCGAAAGCCUGAUCCAGCAAUGCCGCGGGAGUGAUGAAGGCCUUAGGGUUGUAAAGCUCUUUUACCCGGGAUGAUAAUGACAGUACCGGGAGAAGAAGCUCCGGCUAACUCCGUG